Cuculus canorus (common cuckoo) is the source of this 4161-nucleotide long non-coding RNA. RefSeq lists it as uncharacterized. The record is from RefSeq and is a predicted model, not a curated record. The transcript is spliced from 5 exons. NCBI's taxonomy places the organism in Eukaryota, Metazoa, Chordata, Aves, Cuculiformes, Cuculidae.
CACAUACUUUUGAUGAGAAGAUAUUUAUGACAGUAAGUGUAGAUAUUUAUUGUUGUACUUAAAGUUGAAUUCCAGCUUUUGUCCUACCCUACGUCCUUCUACUCUCUGCCACAUAUUUAGCUGCUCAAAGCUUCUAGAAGAAAUGCCUUUUGUGAUUACAAUUGUCAUGUUUACUGUUCAUACUUCUGUGGUAAAAGAUGUUAGAUUGAAUAACCUUUUUCUUUUUUAAUUAUUUGGAUAUCCAUUUGCUGUAAUUUGAAAUGCAUCCCUGGUACAGCUCAGAACUAACAAACUGGACACUUCAGAGGGAUCUGAAAGAGACCUAUGAAACAAAGCCAGGCCUGAGAUGAUAACUGAAUCUGUAAGUGUCUACUAACCACCUUUUGAGGGCUCAAGGUCCAUGGCUGCAAUAGAAAUCUCAGUGAGUUUCUAAAAUGGGAAGAAAAGAAAUCCACAAUUCAGAAUGUUAAAAGCACUGAUGUCCUGGAAAAUGCUAAUGUGAUUGUGGGUUUGAAAUCUCAUACUUUGUUGUACCAGAGGGCCGUGUGCAUGUCUUAGGUUUGGUCCAAAGAAAUUAUGCCCCAUUCUGGUGGUGUUUCUAAAUCCUGGAGUCUCAUAAACCUUCAUGUCAGGGUAUUCAGGGGACAAGAUAUUUGAAUCAUGAUGAUUAAACAUGUCUUGAAAUCAUGAUAGGUGAAGGUAAACCUACUCAGAUUUGGGGGUUUAGUUGGAUUUUUUCUUACUAAGAAUAGAGAGUAUAGGUUAGGGUGACAGCCCUAACGUUGUGUCUAAAGAAAAGCCCCUUCAGUACCUGUAGAGCUGGACUUCCAACAUGGAGCAGGUGUCUGCCACAUGGCAGAGGCAUCAGCGAGAGCCUCACAGCAAGGUCUAUGCAAAACCAGGCUCCAAUUAGAAAAAAAAUCAUUCCUAGAAUGUGAAGUUUUCUGAUACCAUAGAGAACCUGAAAUACAGUCCUAACUUUCCAAAGGACAGGAUUUCAGGAGCCUGAAGGAAAAUAAAUUACUAUAUUCUUAACAAACAUUGUCUACAUUCUAAUCACAUAUUGUAAGAUAAGUAUCUUUUCUAUGAAGAUAUAAAUGUGUGUAGGCAAUUAUAUCUCACUGUUACCUGUAAGUGGAAAGCAGCCUAUCCAAAUUCCCUUCCUCGGGGCAUAUCUUGCCGAGUGUACUGCCUUGUCCCAUCACUUGUGCAAAUCUUCAUCAUCAAAUAAGAACUUUCUCUGGCUGGAAACAGAAAAUUGUAUUGCAAAUCAUGCCAGCGUAUGUCAGCAGUAUUACUCCCUUGGCACUGCUCCUCCUUGUUAAUUGUGGAGUAGAAAAUGUUCUUCUUCAGGCUUUUCCUCUAAAUACCUCAGCACAAGAGCCAGAAACCAUGGACAUUUGUGUGGAGGGAAUUUGGCAGUUGAAAUGCAUGGAAGCCUGGCUCUGGCAUGAGCAUAUCCAAGCAUCUGGACCCCUGGUUAACUUCCUGACUGAUCUCCUGCCUCAGACAUGGGGCCAACCAUGAUAAGUGCACCAAACAUUUGGGCUGGGCAGAAGCUUGGACAUGUCUUAUGGUUUUAAAAAUAGCAGAGCAAAUCCAAAGUACUUUGGCAGACCUCAUUCAACUUCAAAACUCAACUGGAAAGUCCUUCUUCCUGAUGAUUGCCUUGUGGAUUAUUCCCUGGGUUGAUUUUUUGCCUGUCCCAGCAGCAAAGCCACAGCUGCAACCUCACUUACAAAAAUGGCUGAAUUCUGAACUCAAACACAAGUGCAUUUCUGGUGCAUAGUGAACAGUUUCCUGGCUCAAUUUACAGGGACAUCUGUGUCCAAACUACUGUGAUGUUUGCGAAGCAACUAUUUGGUUGUAUGUAGAGAGACAGUAGAUUUGUAUGUGCUGUUUUCCUUGGUCCUUCAUUCAAAGAAACUUUGUGCUGGCUUUCCAAAACAAAACAAAAGGAAAAUAUGUUCUGUUUAGGUUACAUCUCAGCUGUACAUAUGUAUGUGUACAUAUGUAUGGGUGUUGUACAUAUGUGUGUGCACAUUUGUGUGGGUGUAUGUGCACAUAUAUAUGUAUAGGAAAGACUUCCCUUCAGUAGUAAAUGGGAGUUUAAUCUGUACUGGCUCAUAGGCUACAGAUGAUUGCAAAGUUAUUUUGUUCUUCUGUCACCCAAACAAAUUCAACUUCCCACUCGUUUGACUCAUUCAUUGGUAGGUGUUUAGACUAAAACAUAAUUUAAUGUUGUUACCUGUCCAUUGACCUCCCUAGGGAUACAUCUAUGUAUGAUACGAAGACCAAACACUAAAGCAAAGGGUCUAAAGCAGGUGGCAGUGUGUUAUUCCAGUAUCCCGUUCCUGAAUAGGGUUGGUACAUCUCAAACCACACGUGGUCUUCACCACUACAGUGUUUGAGCAUUCAUUCAUGAGAAUGUGACAAAGCUUCUGCAACUUCUCUGGGACCAGGGUCAUUCACUUUUCCUUCACACCAACACCUCAUAUAUACACAGAUAAAAACAUACAAGUGCUUGCAAACUGUAUAAACGUCAUCUAGGAGACCUUUUAUACAGAAGUCACCCACUUCUUUGUUGAUUCACCAUUUCUCUUUUCAUCACAGGCAAGACUGACAUUUUCUGAAUAAUAAAUACAAAGUAUUUUACAAGUGGGGAAAUGGCAUCAGACAAAAAGUCUUGUUUGAACUACUGAUUUCUCUUGUCCUUCUGCUGCUCUUUCUUUGCAUUACCAUUUUUACCCCAUCAUUAUAGUCUAAAGGUGCAGAGAAGAAUAGAAGAACAACGAAAAACUACGUCAUUAUCCAAGAUGUACAUUGCAUCCUGAGACUCUUCAGCACAAGGACAAACGAAGUUCAUUUCCUGCCACGACAAGUUCAAGGUUGAACUAAACUGGAAGCCCUUCCCUCUACUGUGAGAGUUGUUUUUUUUCAUAUCACAGUCCAGGAGAGCAAAGAUGGUGCCAGGGCAGCUACGACGACAGCUUCUACUGGAUCAGUGCCUGACUGAGGAAAGCAGGAAUUCAGGACUACGGUCUCCAGGCUGAAAGGCAGUUUCAGAUGAUCAUUACUUGAGAUGAUCAGGCAAUGUCCACUUUGACUGAUGGCAUGAGAGCAGCGGUUCUGUAGUGACAUUGGUUCCAUGAAGGACUGAAGUACGCUCUUCAUCUUAUGCAUCUAGGGAAUGCCACUGACUUUGGCAGGACUGUGUACACCCUUGGCGAUAACCCAGACCUCUUGGAUUUGGACCAGAACGGCCACAUUUGUGGACGCAGCUAUAACUGUGGAGAGAAAGUAAGUUGCGUGUACCCUGGUCAUGCUGUUUUCCCAGGGAAAACAAUAACGCGAGGUAAUGCCCUUUCUCUGCAGGCUGUGUGCUGUCCUGCUUGACUGGAGCAAUGGCUGGGAAAGCUGGCGUUUGUCCUGUAAGCAGGGAGCAACUCUUGGGUGCAAAAAAGUCACUACUGUACAAAUGCCAUGCUGUUUCAGAUUUUCCUUUGGGGGGGCACAUUACUCAGAAGGAAGUAGCAAGGCAAGCCCAGUGUCAUGUGGAAUAGCUGAAAUUCCUCAAGUUCCUUUUUGCCAGGAUUUCAAGCUGUGAAAGACACAUGAUCUCCGCUGCUCAAGUCUACAACUGAGGAUUUUUCCCCAACAAAGAUGAAUAGAUAUCUACAGCUUUGUGCUAUUGCCUUAAUUCUGGAGAUGAGAAAGGAGAGGAGAGAAGGAAUGUCAGCUGUACCUGAUGACACAGUCAUUGUCAGACCCAUGAGAGGAGCCCUGAAAUGCCUUGCUCUUAGUCUUGUAUUCAUUCCUCCGGGUUACAAAGACGUGACAGAUACAGUACAUGUUUUUUCUUACAGUCUGCAUAGCAAAAUCAGACAAUUAGGAAGAUGCUUAAAACACAAAAACCGAAUAAUCCAGACAUGUGCAUUCUGCUGUUUUCUUUAUUUUUUAAUGAAAAAGUGUUUAUUUAAACCCUGAGAUAAAUCUUGUCUACCUGCCACCAGUUUAAAUCUGAUUCGAUUUCCUCAAUUAUUCUCUGUAAGGGUUUCUUUUUCCCCGUGUGCUUGUAGUACAUUGGAUAACAGUAAAAUUACCAUCACAUAAUGUUAGUCUAAAAAUACAUGUACCAUUAUUAUUAUCAAAUAGAGAUAA